CCAUUAACAGGUGAUGGAGUUCACCUUUAAUUGCCAAAGAUAUAUCUUUUAUCCUUUGGAUGAUGACUCCUACCGUAAG
Molecule: non-coding RNA, 79 nt
Filed under: Methanobacterium congolense
Lineage: Archaea; Methanobacteriati; Methanobacteriota; Methanobacteria; Methanobacteriales; Methanobacteriaceae
Description: Fluoride sequence
Rfam family: Fluoride riboswitch aptamer (crcB RNA motif)
Source: Rfam by way of RNAcentral